UAGCCAAGAUGAAUGAUGAUA
RNAcentral lists this non-coding RNA (21 nucleotides) under Arabidopsis thaliana (thale cress). The record is from RNAcentral. Lineage: Eukaryota; Viridiplantae; Streptophyta; Magnoliopsida; Brassicales; Brassicaceae.